AUGCCUUCUCCCCGGCCAUCAAUUAGCUACCAACAUAGCGAGGCAGUGCUGGAAUAUCUGAUCACUGGUCUGGAGUCAGAAUUUAAACUUGAAGUUGAUCCAGCACUCAUCAAGGUCAUGCUUGGUGGGGUUGCAUCAGUGGAUGGAUUGUAAGAAUGUGUUUCUCAACUUAUAUCAUAUAAAAGUUACUUUGGCAGAUGAGGGUGUUGCGGAAGAGAUAGAAUAAGAGCCUUCUCUUGCCAGACUGAUGUUGAAGCUGUGGUGACCCUCGAGCAUUUAUGCAAUGGUAUAGUGGAUGAGCUAUCUAAGCCAGUCGAUAGAAAUCCGGCCAUUUUAGUCCUGGAUACUGAUGUGCAGGUGAGCAACAUGAUAUCCUUCUUAUUGUCUAUUUCUUUAAUUAUUAAAAAAGUUUUUAGCUGGAUGUUCUGCUUUACUGAAUACCUGGCUAGCUGUUGGAAGGGAUAA
Molecule: ribosomal RNA, 465 nt
Filed under: Triticum aestivum (bread wheat)
Lineage: Eukaryota; Viridiplantae; Streptophyta; Magnoliopsida; Poales; Poaceae
Description: partial small subunit ribosomal RNA
Source: RNAcentral